AGUGUUGUUAUUGGCGUAGCCAAGGUUCCUUGUGGUGCAAGCAGAGCCGGCUUAAGGUUAGGCAAUGAGACAGAACCAAUUCCUUCGUCAUUUGCUAGGUUGAUAAUGCAGCUUAACAAGGCUCCACGUCAGCAGCUCGUUCACCUGUUCUACUGUAGUUGGCACUGGCAUUUUUGUGGGUGUUCAGUUCUCCCUGUUGCAUACUAGUAAGAACCAACCGUUAUCACGGUUGAGUGCAUCAUCCUUGACCUUGAGGACAAGGUCAAUUUCAAGCGGGAAGGAUUGUAAUGACCCAAAGUUGUUAUGUCUGCAUGUGGCAAUUGAAUAAUCAUGAAAAAAGAAAUUGGGAAUUAGUUUAAAUAAACGGUAGAGAUCGUCAGGAAUCAACGGUGGGGAUUAAUACAUCAAAUAGUCCAGCUCAUCACCAACUCGGCUAAGUCAGCAAAAUCUAUAAAUAGCCUAACCGAAAUUGGGAAAAACAGUUAUUGAAUUGCUAGUACUCUUUUCUUAAAUUCUUAUUUCUAUAGUCUUCUUUAUCUUCUUCGUUUUUCCUAUCUAACCUAGUCUUUCCUAUCUCAUCUUUUUCGUCUUGAGUUGUUAUCUUUUAGUUGUAUACUUGUAACCGUUGACUCUUCUGUAAACAAAAUUCCUUUUUAUUACUGUGAUUCGCAAUUCAUAGUCAUCGUGUUUAGGACAUUACAAGCUAUUUUUGAAACAUCCCAAUAAUUAUUAGGCCAAACCCAUCGAUAGUCCCUCAAACUUAUCCCUAAAAUUCACUUAAGCCCCUAAACUAAGGCUUGUACCUAUCAGACCCCUAAACCCCCCAAAUUUGAUUCAAUCAGGUCUUUUUUGCUUAUGUGGCAUUCCGCGUGUUGUCCACUCACUAGGGGCGCGUGAGGCACGCUUUUUUGAAUAAUUAUCCAAUAGAAAGGUGCCAAGUGGCACUGAGGCUCCAAAAAAUAUUAAUUGAAAAAUUUAUAUUUAAAUUAAUUUAUUAAUAUAAUUUUUAAUUUCUUAAUCUUUUUUUUUUUAAAAAAACACCCCACCUCCUACAGUGUCACCUUCUUCACAGCACCCCACCCCCACCCCACCCCACCCCACGUCUUCAUCGUCUUCACAUGAACAAUUUAUUUUUAAUCCAUCAUAAUUAUUCCAAUUUCUUGAACAAUUCCAACAAUUUUUUUUUCUCCACUAGUAUCACCAUUUCUUGAAAAAUUACAAAAAAAAUCACUUUUUUUUUCAUUUCUUGUAAUUUUUUGCAAUAAAGGUCACUUUUUUCUCCUUUAAUAUCAUUAUUUUAUGAAAAUUUGUAAUAAAGAUGGCUUUUUUUUAGACCCUCUUUUGAAUUCUUGAAGUAGAUUUUAAACAAAAAUUUUGUGUAUGCGUGUUUUUGAGCUUCGCAGUGAAGCAAAGUUCACUAUAAUGGUGAAAAAGAUGAACGCGGGGAAGGGGGCAGUGAAGAUGAACGCUGGGAAGGGACCUUGGGGUAGGUGGGGAUUAGUUUUUUAUUUUCAUUUUUUAAAUAAUUUUAUAAAUUUUCAUUUGUAAAAAUUUUAUAAUUUCUUUUUAAUAAUCAAUUUUUUAUUUUUAUUUUUUAAAUAAUUUUAUAAAUUUUCAUUUGUAAAAAUUUUAUAAUUUCUUUUUAAUAAUCAAUUUUUUAUUUUUAUUUUUUAAAUAAUUUUAUAAAUUUUCAUUUGUAAAAAUUUUAUAAUUUCUUUUUAAUAAUCAAUUUUUUAUUUUUAUUUUUUAAAUAAUUUUAUAAAUUUUCAUUUGUAAAAAUUUUAUAAUUUCUUUUUAAUAAUCAAUUUUUUAUUUUUAUUUUUUAAAUAAUUUUAUAAAUUUUCAUUUGUAAAAAUUUUAUAAUUUCUUUUUAAUAAUCAAUUUUUUAUUUUUAUUUUUUAAAUAAUUUUAUAAUUAAUUUUUAAUAAUUAUUGGACACACAAUGCUACGUGUCAGCUUUCAAUUAGUCUUUUUUGCCAUAUUAUUGCGUGUGUGCAACACACACUUUAAGCUUUUAGCUGAUUGAGUAAAAAAUAUCUAUUUGAAACCAAAUUCAAAAUUUAAAAAUUUAAUAAGUACAAAUGAUGUAAGUGAAUUUUUGGACAAAGUUUGAGCGCUAUCAAUGGCUGUGGCCUAAUUAUUAAAGGCCUAAUUAUUAUUACAUGAAGUUAGUACUAAAUUUAUAAAGAAAACGGUAAAAAUUACCUCUGGAAAGGACAUUAUUCUUUUCUGCAAUAGUUUCAGUUUCUGGAUUGGCG
Molecule: long non-coding RNA, 2258 nt
Filed under: Capsicum annuum
Lineage: Eukaryota; Viridiplantae; Streptophyta; Magnoliopsida; Solanales; Solanaceae
Description: long non-coding RNA (CANN_LNC002097)
Source: RNAcentral